This 531-nucleotide ribosomal RNA is filed under the name uncultured bacterium. Its description in RNAcentral is "bacterial SSU rRNA". It matches the Rfam family "Bacterial small subunit ribosomal RNA", at positions 8 to 526 of the family's 1533-position model. The record is from RNAcentral.
AGAGUUUGAUCCUGGCUCAGGACGAACGCUGACGGUGUGCUUUAGGCAUGCAAGUCGAACGAGAAAGCCCUUCGGGGUGAGUAGAGUGGCGAACGGGUGAGUAACACGUGGGCAACCUGCCCCUCGCAGGGGGAUAACCGGAGGAAACUCCGGCUAAUACCCCGUAAGCUUUCAGGGUCGCAUGGCUCUGUAAGGAAAGGUAGCUUCGGCCAUCUGGCGAGGGAUGGGCCCGCGGUGCAUUAGCUAGUUGGUGGGGUAAUGGCCCACCAAGGCGACGAUGCGUAGCUGGUCUGAGAGGAUGAUCAGCCACACUGGGACUGAGACACGGCCCAGACUCCUACGGGAGGCAGCAGCCAGGAAUCUUGGGCAAUGGGCGAAAGCCUGACCCAGCAACACCGUGUGGGCGAUGAAGGCCUUCGGGUCGUAAAGCCCUGUUGAUAGGGACGAAGGGCGAAGGGUUAAUAGCCCCUAGCCUGACGGUACCUUUCGAGGAAGCCCCGGCUAACUACGUGCCAGCAGCGGCGGUAAUAC